Quercus robur (English oak) is the source of this 923-nucleotide long non-coding RNA. RefSeq lists it as uncharacterized. NCBI's taxonomy places the organism in Eukaryota, Viridiplantae, Streptophyta, Magnoliopsida, Fagales, Fagaceae. The record is from RefSeq and is a predicted model, not a curated record. The transcript has 2 exons.
CUGUAACCCGCUCUCUAUAAAUUCAUUGUCUAGGGUCCUUUGGGCCAGAACCACUUACUUGCUGGGUCUGGGCCCCAAAAACAGACCCUACAAUAGGAAAAUUGGAAAAAAAAUGAUAAUGAGGUGGACGAUGAUAUGGCUCAACUGGAGUGUAGCAAUAAUAAAUGCUACGUUUCAGCUUUUAGAUAUAUAUAGAUUAUUAUUAAUGGACACUACAUAAAGCUCUAGACCAGAAAUCAUUGCCAAAAUUAGCACUAUAAUCAUAUUUAGAGCUAGGUAUCAAUAACUUAAAUAGAACUAUUAAAGACUUAUUCAAUGCUGUGACUUAUGUAGUUAGUCAAUUUCAGAAAAGUAGGAAUGUAGAAAAAAGUGGAAAAGAGAAGGGGGGAUGGGGGUGGGGGAGAAAUUUAACAAGAGCAUGCCUCUAUCUUAUGUGCCUAAUUCAAUUUCAUUAAUGCACAUUCAAUGAUGAUUUUCUCUUCCAUCAAAAUUACACAAUUCUUUGGAGGAAGGUCAAUUUGUGAUCCAGCCACCACCAAUCACAAGAGCAGAUUUUGAUAAAGUACUUGCAAGACAGAAGCCAACUGUAAGUAAAGCCGAUCUUGAGGUGCAUGAGAGAUUCACGGAGGAGUUUGGGGAAGAAGGCUGAUUGCUUGAGUUUGAACACAAGGGCUGAUUAACUAUUAGAAACAGGUAAAACUACUAGUAUAGGUAAAUGAAAUAUGUAUAUAUAGUCGUCAAUAUAGCUUGUAAUAGAAAGUUCAGCGUCUUUUUAAGAGAACACCGUGCCAUAUUGUUUCAAUCUCUGUCUGUCUCACCAGAAGAGGAAAAAGAGGUGGAAAGCUCUUAAUUGAUGUUUAGUGUUACUGGUCAUAGUCUCCAUAUUCAAUAAUGAUUGAUAAUCUUACCAAUUUUUUCCCAUC